UGACUAUGAGGGUGAUUUGGCUGUGACAUCUGUCACCCUAUUGCUCGCCUGUUGAUUUGGCUGAUCUGGCUGGCUGGGCAUCCCCUUCCUUCCUCACAGCUCUUUGUGUGACCCUCGCGAAGCUGCAAGUUCAGUGGAGGAGGAUGGCUACCCCUUUUGGAGGAGGACUGACUGACUCCUUGGUCAGGGGUAUGCCAGUAGCUGUGCUCCCCUCUGGAACCUCCAAAUGAGCUCUCAAGGAAUUGGCUCUUGCAGUUAUGGGGGCUAAAUCCCUUAAUCUGCGGGCUGAAAGUUUAAGCCCAGGAGA
Fukomys damarensis (Damara mole-rat) is the source of this 307-nucleotide unclassified non-coding RNA. Its record names the gene 7SK. It matches the Rfam family "7SK RNA". From Rfam's summary of the family: 7SK was discovered as an abundant small nuclear RNA in the mid-70s but a possible function has only recently been suggested. NCBI's taxonomy places the organism in Eukaryota, Metazoa, Chordata, Mammalia, Rodentia, Bathyergidae. The record is from Ensembl.